ACGGAGGGUGCAAGCGUUAUCCGGAAUUACUGGGUUUAAAGGGUGCGUAGGCGGCUUGUUAAGUCAGGAGUGAAAGUUUGCGGCUCAACCGUAAAAUUGCUUUUGAUACUGGCAGGCUGGAAUCAGGAUGAGGUCAGCGGAAUGUGGCAUGUAGCGGUGAAAUGCAUAGAUAUGCCAUAGAACACCAAUUGCGAAGGCAGCUGGCUACACGAAUAUUGACACUGAUGCACGAAAGCGUGGGGAUCAAACAGGA
Molecule: ribosomal RNA, 253 nt
Filed under: uncultured prokaryote
Description: partial 16S ribosomal RNA
Rfam family: Bacterial small subunit ribosomal RNA
Source: RNAcentral